RNAcentral lists this transfer RNA (74 nucleotides) under Chloroflexota bacterium. Its description in RNAcentral is "Chloroflexi bacterium tRNA-Arg". It matches the Rfam family "tRNA". Rfam says of the family: Transfer RNA (tRNA) molecules are approximately 80 nucleotides in length. Their secondary structure includes four short double-helical elements and three loops (D, anti-codon, and T loops). The record is from RNAcentral. Lineage: Bacteria; Bacillati; Chloroflexota.
ACGUUCUUAGCUCAGUUGGAUAGAGCAACGGCCUUCUAAGCCGCAGGUCAUAGGUUCAAAUCCUAUAGAACGUA